RNAcentral lists this ribosomal RNA (164 nucleotides) under Linaria mamorensis. RNAcentral describes it as "5.8S ribosomal RNA". It matches the Rfam family "5.8S ribosomal RNA". From Rfam's summary of the family: 5.8S ribosomal RNA (5.8S rRNA) is a component of the large subunit of the eukaryotic ribosome. Lineage: Eukaryota; Viridiplantae; Streptophyta; Magnoliopsida; Lamiales; Plantaginaceae. The record is from RNAcentral.
UCAUAACGACUCUCGGCAACGGAUAUCUCGGCUCUCSCAUCGAUGAAGAACGUAGCGAAAUGCGAUACUUGGUGUGAAUUGCAGAAUCCCGUGAACCAUCGAGUCUUUGAACGCAAGUUGCGCCCGAAGCCAUUAGGCCGAGGGCACGUYUGCCUGGGCGUCAC